Small nucleolar RNA from Cavia aperea (Brazilian guinea pig), 78 nucleotides. Its record names the gene SNORD96. It matches the Rfam family "Small nucleolar RNA SNORD96 family". From Rfam's summary of the family: snoRNA Z37 is a member of the C/D class of snoRNA which contain the C (UGAUGA) and D (CUGA) box motifs. Z37 acts as a methylation guide for 5.8S ribosomal RNA. NCBI's taxonomy places the organism in Eukaryota, Metazoa, Chordata, Mammalia, Rodentia, Caviidae. The record is from Ensembl.
GAUCCUGGUGAUGACAGAUGACAUUGUCAGCCAAUCCCACAAGGGAAUGAGGACAUGUCCUGCAAUUCUGAGUGGAUU